RNAcentral lists this ribosomal RNA (218 nucleotides) under Acinetobacter sp. JS678. RNAcentral describes it as "partial 16S ribosomal RNA". It matches the Rfam family "Bacterial small subunit ribosomal RNA", at positions 1321 to 1533 of the family's 1533-position model. Lineage: Bacteria; Pseudomonadati; Pseudomonadota; Gammaproteobacteria; Moraxellales; Moraxellaceae. The record is from RNAcentral.
UGAAGUCGGAAUCGCUAGUAAUCGCGGAUCAGAAUGCCGCGGUGAAUACGUUCCCGGGCCUUGUACACACCGCCCGUCACACCAUGGGAGUUUGUUGCACCAGAAGUAGCUAGCCUAACUGCAAAGAGGGCGGUUACCACGGUGUGGCCGAUGACUGGGGUGAAGUCGUAACAAGGUAGCCGUAGGGGAACCUGCGGCUGGAUCACCUCCUUAACGAA